This 253-nucleotide ribosomal RNA is filed under the name uncultured bacterium. RNAcentral's name for it is "partial 16S ribosomal RNA". It matches the Rfam family "Bacterial small subunit ribosomal RNA", at positions 524 to 776 of the family's 1533-position model. The record is from RNAcentral.
UACAGAGGGUGCGAGCGUUGUUCGGAAUUAUUGGGCGUAAAGGGCGCGUAGGCGGCGCGGUAAGUCACCUGUGAAAUCCCUCGGCUCAACUGAGGAACUGCCUUUGAAACUGUCUGGCUUGAGGCCGGGAGAGGGUAGCGGAAUUCCCAGUGUAGCGGUGAAAUGCGUAGAUACUGGGAGGAACACCGGUGGCGAAGGCGGCUACCUGGACCGGAACUGACGCUGAGGCGCGAAAGCGUGGGUAGCAAACAGG